Oncorhynchus keta (chum salmon) is the source of this 426-nucleotide long non-coding RNA. RefSeq lists it as uncharacterized. The record is from RefSeq and is a predicted model, not a curated record. Lineage: Eukaryota; Metazoa; Chordata; Actinopteri; Salmoniformes; Salmonidae. The transcript has 4 exons.
UGGGUGGUAUAGAGGAGAUGGACCCACUGGUUGCCCUCUAGGUUACAGAGAGCUGGUAGUCCCAUCCACCACACUACCAGGUGGGUGGUAUAGAGGAGACGGACCCACUGGUUGUCCUCUAGGUUACAGAGAGCUGGUAGUCCCAUCCACCACACUACCAGGUGGGUGGUAUAGAGGAGACGGACCCACUGGUUGUCCUCUAGGUUACAGAGAGCUGGUAGUCCCAUCCACCACACUACCAGGUGGGUGGUAUAGAGGAGAUGGACCCACUGGUUGCCCUCUAGGUUACAGAGAGCUGGUAGUCCCAUCCACCACACUACCAGGUGGGUGGUAUAGAGGAGACGGACCCACUGGUUGUCCUCUAGGUUACAGAGAGCUGGUAGUCCCAUCCACCACACUACCAGGUGGGUGGUAUAGAGGAGACGG